Molecule: ribosomal RNA, 245 nt
Filed under: uncultured Alicyclobacillus sp.
Lineage: Bacteria; Bacillati; Bacillota; Bacilli; Caryophanales; Alicyclobacillaceae
Description: partial 16S ribosomal RNA
Rfam family: Bacterial small subunit ribosomal RNA
Source: RNAcentral
UACGUAGGGGGCAAGCGUUGUCCGGAAUCACUGGGCGUAAAGCGUGCGUAGGCGGUUGUGCAAGUCUGAGGUGAAAGUCCAGGGCUCAACCCUGGGAAUGCCUUGGAAACUGUGCGACUUGAGUACUGGAGAGGCAAGGGGAAUUCCACGUGUAGCGGUGAAAUGCGUAGAUAUGUGGAGGAAUACCAGUGGCGAAGGCGCCUUGCUGGACAGAAACUGACGCUGAGGCACGAAAGCGUGGGGAG